CAUCAUUUAAAGAAAGCGUAAUAGCUCACUGGUCGAGUCGGCCUGCGCGGAAGAUGUAACGGGGCUAAACCAUGCACCGAAGCUGCGGCAGCGACGCUGAUGCGUUGUUGGGUAGGGGAGCGUUCUGUAAGCCUGUGAAGGUGUGCUGUGAGGCAUGCUGGAGGUAUCAGAAGUGCGAAUGCUGACAUAAGUAACGAUAAAGCGGGUGAAAAGCCCGCUCGCCGGAAGACC
Molecule: ribosomal RNA, 231 nt
Filed under: Escherichia coli
Lineage: Bacteria; Pseudomonadati; Pseudomonadota; Gammaproteobacteria; Enterobacterales; Enterobacteriaceae
Description: partial 23S ribosomal RNA
Rfam family: Bacterial large subunit ribosomal RNA
Source: RNAcentral